AGGACGACGCUGGCGGCGUGCUUAACACAUGCAAGUCAAACGGUAAGGCCUUUCGGGGUACACGAGUGGCGAACGGGUGAGUAACACGUGGGUGAUCUGCCCUGCACUUUGGGAUAAGCCUGGGAAACUGGGUCUAAUACCGAAUAGGACCAUGGACUUCACGGUUUGUGGUGGAAAGCUUUUGCGGUGUGGGAUGGGCCCGCGGCCUAUCAGCUUGUUGGUGGGGUAAUGGCCUACCAAGGCGACGACGGGGUAGCCGGCCUGAGAGGGUGACCGGCCACACUGGGGCUGAGAUACGGCCCAGACUCCUACGGGAGGCAGCAGUGGGGAAUAUUGCACAAUGGGCGCAAGCCUGAUGCAGCGACGCCGCGUGAGGGAUGACGGCCUUCGGGUUGUAAACCUCUUUCAGCACAGACGAAGCGCAAGUGACGGUAUGUGCAGAAGAAGGACCGGCCAACUACGUG
This 464-nucleotide ribosomal RNA is filed under the name uncultured bacterium. Its description in RNAcentral is "bacterial SSU rRNA". It matches the Rfam family "Bacterial small subunit ribosomal RNA", at positions 33 to 507 of the family's 1533-position model. The record is from RNAcentral.